UACGUAGGGGGCAAGCGUUGUCCGGAAUCAUUGGGCGUAAAGCGCGCGUAGGCGGCCAGAUAAGUCCGGUGUGAAAGUCACAGGCUCAACCUGUGAAUGCCGCUGGAAACUGUCUGGCUAGAGUCCGGAAGGGGCGAGUGGAAUUCCUGGUGUAGCGGUGAAAUGCGCAGAUAUCAGGAGGAACACCAAUGGCGAAGGCAGCUCGCUGGAACGGUACUGACGCUGAGGCGCGAAAGCGUGGGGAGCGAACAGG
Molecule: ribosomal RNA, 253 nt
Filed under: uncultured bacterium
Lineage: Bacteria
Description: partial 16S ribosomal RNA
Rfam family: Bacterial small subunit ribosomal RNA
Source: RNAcentral